UAGGGAAUCUUGGACAAUGGGCGAAAGCCUGAUCCAGCGACGCCGCGUGAGGGAUGAAGGCCUUCGGGUUGUAAACCUCUGUUGACGGGAAAGAAGCCGCGGGCAACCGCGGUGACGGUACCCGUCGAGGAAGCCCCGGCUAACUACGUGCCAGCAGCCGCGGUAAGACGUAGGGGGCGAGCGUUACCCGGAUUCACUGGGCGUAAAGGGCGCGUAGGCGGCUGCGCAAGUCCGGCGUGAAAUGCCACGGCUCAACUGUGGACUGCCGUCGGAAACUGCGCUGGCUUGAGGGCGGUAGAGGUCAGCGGAACUAGCGGUGUAGCGGUGAAAUGCGCAGAUAUCGCUAGGAACGCCGGUGGCGAAGGCGGCUGACUGGGCCGUCCCUGACGCUGAGGCGCGAAAGCUAGGGGAGCGAACCGG
RNAcentral lists this ribosomal RNA (420 nucleotides) under uncultured bacterium. RNAcentral's name for it is "bacterial SSU rRNA". It matches the Rfam family "Bacterial small subunit ribosomal RNA", at positions 355 to 776 of the family's 1533-position model. The record is from RNAcentral.